This 459-nucleotide ribosomal RNA is filed under the name uncultured bacterium. Its description in RNAcentral is "partial 16S ribosomal RNA". It matches the Rfam family "Bacterial small subunit ribosomal RNA", at positions 338 to 795 of the family's 1533-position model. The record is from RNAcentral.
CCUACGGGUGGCUGCAGUGAGGAAUAUUGGUCAAUGGCCGCAGGGCUGAACCAGCCAAGUCGCGUGAGGGAUGAAGGUACUGUGUAUUGUAAACCUCUUUUGUCAGGGAGCAAAGGCCGCCACGUGUGCCGCUUUGCGAGUACCUGAAGAAAAAGCAUCGGCUAACUCCGUGCCAGCAGCCGCGGUAAUACGGAGGAUGCGAGCGUUAUCCGGAUUUAUUGGGUUUAAAGGGUGCGCAGGCGGAAUGUCAAGUCAGCGGUAAAAUGUCGGGGCUCAACCCCGUCGUGCCGUUGAAACUGGCAGUCUCGAGUGAGCGAGAAGUAUGCGGAAUGCGGGGUGUAGCGGUGAAAUGCAUAGAUAUCACGCAGAACUCCGAUUGCGAAGGCAGCAUGCCGGCGCCAAACUGACGCUGAUGCACGAAAGCGUGGGUAUCGAACAGGAUUAGAUACCCCGGUAGUC